GUAAUUAUUAAUAGUAAAAAAUAAAAUAAUGAAUAUUGUUAAAUAAAAAUAAUAAAUAUAUAUAAAAUUAACUAAUUAAUUAAUUUCUUACAAUUAUAGACAAUGACAUUUCCAUUAACCCUGUCUGAGUGACACGUCGUGAGGCCAUUACGUCACAUGAUCAACGGCUGUUUGUCAACAGAUGACAUUGCACCCUCAACGUUUGUUUUUUUAUAAUAGGUUGAUAUUUAGCUCAAGAAUUAUCUGUAAAUACAAAAUUUGUACAUAUAACAAUCCUGUUCAUUCGUAGUUAUCUGUUUGUUUACAUAUUAACUUUUUUUGUUGUUGUUUAUUCGGUUUUAGGCUUAAGGUUAAUUUGUCCGUUGUUGAGAAAAGACAGCCAAACAGGUUUGGAACAAGUGAAUGAGUUCUCUACAGUCAACUGACAACUACAUAACACUUACACAUUCUGUCCCUCAAAAAUAAGGUUCUUGCAGCUUAAAAAAAAUGUACCUGAUAGUGGAGUUCAUUCACGAAGGGAGUACCGGACCUGUCGCAAAGUCUUGGUACUCAGAGGGUCACUCGUGGUGGCCUCCAUACAAGGAGAUAGACAGGGUGUUGAAGAGUGUCCGGUUGAUGGAGGCACCACAACCAGAUAAAGGUUGGACCAAGCAUCAGGCCAGAAUU
This 666-nucleotide long non-coding RNA is filed under the name Danio rerio (zebrafish). RNAcentral describes it as "si:dkey-19h16.7 (ENSDARG00000098244.2)". Lineage: Eukaryota; Metazoa; Chordata; Actinopteri; Cypriniformes; Danionidae. The record is from RNAcentral.